GACGAACGCUGGCGGCGUGCUUAACACAUGCAAGUCGAACGGAAAGGCCCUGCUUGCAGGGUACUCGAGUGGCGAACGGGUGAGUAACACGUGGGUGAUCUGCCCUGCACUUCGGGAUAAGCCUGGGAAACUGGGUCUAAUACCGGAUAGGAGCCAUUUUUAGUGUGAUGGUUGGAAAGUUUUUUCGGUGUAGGAUGAGCUCGCGGCCUAUCAGCUUGUUGGUGGGGUAAUGGCCUACCAAGGCGGCGACGGGUAGCCGGCCUGAGAGGGUGGACGGCCACAUUGGGACUGAGGUACGGCCCAGACUCCUACGGGAGGCAGAAGUGGGGAAUAUUGCACAAUGGGCGCAAGGCUGAUGCAGCGACGCCGCGGGGGGGAUGACGGCCUUCGGGUUGUAAACUCCUUUCGCUAGGGACGAAGCUUUUUGUGACGGUACCUAGAUAAGAAGCACCGGCUAACUACGUG
RNAcentral lists this ribosomal RNA (465 nucleotides) under uncultured bacterium. RNAcentral describes it as "partial 16S ribosomal RNA". It matches the Rfam family "Bacterial small subunit ribosomal RNA", at positions 28 to 507 of the family's 1533-position model. The record is from RNAcentral.